GAUGAACGCUGGCGGCGUGCUUAACACAUGCAAGUCGAACGGUGAAGCAGGAGCUUGCUCUUGUGGAUCAGUGGCGAACGGGUGAGUAACACGUGAGCAACCUGCCCCUGACUCUGGAAUAAGCGCUGGAAACGGCGUCUAAUACUGGAUAUGUGAUGUGACCGCAUGGUCUGCAUCUGGAAAGAAGUUCGGUUGGGGAUGGGCUCGCGGCCUAUCAGCUUGUUGGUGGGGUAAUGGCUCACCAAGGCGUCGACGGGUAGCCGGCCUGAGAGGGUGACCGGCCACACUGGGACUGAGACACGGCCCAGACUCCUACGGGAGGCAGCAGUGGGGAAUAUUGCACAAUGGGCGGAAGCCUGAUGCAGCAACGCCGCGUGAGGGAUGACGGCCUUCGGGUUGUAAACCUCUUUUAGCAGGGAAGAAGCGAAAGUGACGGUACCUGCAGAAAAAGCACCGGCUAACUACGUGCCAGCAGCCGCGGUAA
RNAcentral lists this ribosomal RNA (484 nucleotides) under uncultured bacterium. Its description in RNAcentral is "partial 16S ribosomal RNA". It matches the Rfam family "Bacterial small subunit ribosomal RNA", at positions 28 to 523 of the family's 1533-position model. The record is from RNAcentral.